RNAcentral lists this ribosomal RNA (253 nucleotides) under uncultured bacterium. Its description in RNAcentral is "partial 16S ribosomal RNA". It matches the Rfam family "Bacterial small subunit ribosomal RNA", at positions 524 to 776 of the family's 1533-position model. The record is from RNAcentral.
UACGUAGGGGGCAAGCGUUGUCCGGAAUCAUUGGGCGUAAAGCGCGUGUAGGCGGCCCGGUAAGUCCGCUGUGAAAGUCCAGGGCUCAACCCUGGGAUGCCGGUGGAUACUGUCGGGCUAGAGUCCGGAAGAGGCGAGUGGAAUUCCUGGUGUAGCGGUGAAAUGCGUAGAUAUCAGGAAGAACACCAACGGCGAAGGCAGCUCGCUGGGACGGUACUGACGCUGAGACGCGAAAGCGUGGGGAGCGAACAGG